Molecule: ribosomal RNA, 491 nt
Filed under: uncultured bacterium
Lineage: Bacteria
Description: partial 16S ribosomal RNA
Rfam family: Bacterial small subunit ribosomal RNA
Source: RNAcentral
AGUGAACGCUGGCGGUAGGCCUAACACAUGCAAGUCGAACGGCAGCACAGUAAGAGCUUGCUCUUACGGGUGGCGAGUGGCGGACGGGUGAGGAAUACAUCGGAAUCUACUUUUUCGUGGGGGAUAACGUAGGGAAACUUACGCUAAUACCGCAUACGACCUACGGGUGAAAGCAGGGGAUCUUCGGACCUUGCGCGAUUGAAUGAGCCGAUGUCGGAUUAGCUAGUUGGCGGGGUAACGGCCCACCAAGGCAACGAUCCGUAGCUGGUCUGAGAGGUUGCUCAGCCAAACGGGAUCUGAGACACGGUCAAGCCUCAUACGGGAGGCAGAAGUGGGAAAUAGUGGAAAAUGGGCGCAAGCUUGAUCCAGCCAUACCGCGUGGGUGAAGAAGGCCUGCGGGUGGUAAGCCCUUUUGUUGGGAAAGAAAAGCAGCAGGUUAAUACCCCGCUGUUCUGACGGUACCCAAAGAAUAAGCACCGGCUAACUUCGUG